Molecule: unclassified non-coding RNA, 204 nt
Filed under: Hevea brasiliensis (rubber tree)
Lineage: Eukaryota; Viridiplantae; Streptophyta; Magnoliopsida; Malpighiales; Euphorbiaceae
Source: RNAcentral
ACGCUGAUCACCGGCUUUGGCCGCAUAAUGGGCUUCGAGAUCGGGAUUCUCUGUAACAACGGGGUGCUGUUUUCCGAAUGCGCGCUGAAGGCGACUCACUUCGACCUCUGCUGCAAGCGCAAUAUCCCGCUGCUGUUCAUGGCCGACGUCACCGGCUUUAUGGUCGGGCGCGAGGCGGAAGAAGGCGGCAUCGCCAAGCACGGC